GCGAUAGAGACAGUGAAUGAGAGGACAUCUGACAGAAACAAGUUUGACUAGUAAAAUAAAUGACAGUAUAAGUGUCAUUAUACUCUGAGACGUGAUCUUGUAACGGUGAUAGAUGUGUCCGAGAACCUGUGCACCAGGAGUCAUUGACUUUUGGAACUGCAUUGGCGAGGUUUUUGAGAUUUCCUGGAAAACCAUCUAGAGCUGGAUUUGGAUUCUCCUUGACGAAGGAGAUGGCGAGCUACCCUUAAACCGGAUCACCUGCCCCUCAAAGGAGCUGUGUCCAGAACAUUGUUGCCCAAGGACGAGCCAUCCCACUCUCCUAUUCCAUGUUCACACCAGUGUGAGGUGGCUACCGGUUGAAGAGCUUUUGGGAGCUCCCCAGGACAGAAGCAGAGUUCCUUAAACAGGGUUUGGUGUCAAAUGACUUUUGUGUUAUUCAGGUCAGCCUGCUUCGGCCAGCUGUAAUUCUGAAAGGGCAAGGCAUUUUAAUGUUUUCAUUAUAUGUUUAUUUAAUGUGUAACUUAAGCCACGGCUGCAGCUCUGACCCCCUACUCUGUGGCUGCUACUGGAGUUCUGCUUCACUUUCCGCUUUACCUUGUACCUUUACAACACUUGCAUGCACACAUUUUCCACUCAUGCACUACACCCACUACUGACCCCAACACGCAAUACAGUUAAAUUUGAAUUUGGGCACUUUAAAUUUGGUUUCAUUCCUUUAAAUAAAUAUAUUUUUGUAAAAACCAAGAUCCUGGUGACUUCCUCUCUAAUGGCCAAUCGAGCUAGGUUGUAACAAUGUCAACUAUUUUAACUUUUACAGCUGUGAAGAGAUUUUAAAAAAGCACAAUUUUCAGAGACAUAAGGGUCAUG
Long non-coding RNA from Centropristis striata (black sea bass), 867 nucleotides. RefSeq lists it as uncharacterized. The transcript is spliced from 3 exons. The record is from RefSeq and is a predicted model, not a curated record. NCBI's taxonomy places the organism in Eukaryota, Metazoa, Chordata, Actinopteri, Perciformes, Serranidae.